RNAcentral lists this ribosomal RNA (402 nucleotides) under Pelobates cultripes (western spadefoot toad). RNAcentral's name for it is "SSU_rRNA_microsporidia". It matches the Rfam family "Eukaryotic small subunit ribosomal RNA", at positions 105 to 473 of the family's 1831-position model. The record is from RNAcentral. Lineage: Eukaryota; Metazoa; Chordata; Amphibia; Anura; Pelobatidae.
UUAUGGUUUUAUAUAUAUAUACAUAUAUAUAUAUAUAUAUAUAUAUAUAUAUGUAUAUAUAUAUAUAUUAUUUUUUUUAAUUGGGGUAGCCCUCAAAAUAUUGGGACAUAUAAAAAAAGACAACUCUGUUCCGCAGAGUAGCUGUUGACAUUAUAGUUGCGCAGAAACUUUGUUGACUCUAGAGAACCUCGGGCAAAUCGCACUUCCCCGUGGCGGCGACUUUGCAUGUGGAUGUCAUCCAUAUCAACUUUCGAUGCCAGUUUCUGCGCCUAGCAUGGUGACCACGGGUAACGGGGAAUCAGGGUUCCAUUCCGCACAGGGACCCUGAGAAAUGGCUACCACAUGCAAAGAAGGCAGCAGGCGCGCAAAUGACCCACUCCCGACGCGGGAAGGUAGUGAUGA